UGCUGAAUUUUCCAAAUUUGCUGACAAUUUGAGUGCAGCACUUUAACAACAUCAUCUUUUAGGAUUUGAAAUAGCCCAGCUGGAAUUCCAUCACAUCUCCUAGCUUUGUUUGUGGCAAUUCUUCUUGAGGCCUACUUGAUUUCAUACUCUAGGAUGUUUGGCUCUGGCUGAGUGACCACACCGUCAUGGUUAUCUGCGUCAUUAAGACAUUUUUGGUAUAGUUCUUCUGUAUAUUCUUGCCACCUCUUCUUAAUCUCUUCUGCUUCUCUUAGAUACUGGCUUUAA
Molecule: long non-coding RNA, 285 nt
Organism: Cervus elaphus (red deer)
Lineage: Eukaryota; Metazoa; Chordata; Mammalia; Artiodactyla; Cervidae
Exons: 3
Source: RefSeq, a predicted model, not a curated record